UUGAAUGAAGUUUCACGUUCGUCAUAACUACCACAAUAAUUAAAAAUUGAUGCCACGACAUACAUUGGAAUGUGAAAAACAAACAGAGGUCAAAAUCCGAUGACCCAAGGAUAGUGAGUGUGAUGAAGUCAUGAGACAGGAAGCGUUUUAGAGUGAUGAUCACAAAAGAGCUUUGCUGGAAGAGAACAGGUGCCUAUCCAGUUUGAAUCUUGUUUCCAACCAUGACCAGCCAUGCUUCCAGGAAGCCCACAAGCAUAGUAGCUAAAAGAAUAGUCUGCUAUCUAGUUGAAUCUUGUCCUGGAUAUGAAGUCCGUAGGUGGCUUUAAGCAAGCUAGUCAUACUCAACCCCCAUUCUGCAAUAUGGGGCAGUGCAGAAGGUUCUGGUGUCCCUUGCAGCAUGGUUAUAUUUACAACAAAGUAAUGUCUGUGAAGUCCUUGGAACACAGGCAGCACAAUCCUGAGGGCUGCCACAGUGGAGGUGGCUGGCUGCUGUGUGUUACACACACAGGCACAACCUAUCACCAGUCUCUGAUUUGACCACUGUCCCUCAACACCCACCCCUACCCCUCCAUGGAGAGCCAGCAGUCACAGAGGAAAGACCCAUGCAACUUCUAGAAUAAUUCUACAAAAACAGAUGAAAUGACAAUGAAUAGUUAUAAAAGUGGUGUUGUAUUCCAAUUAUUUGCUUCUGAGCUUGACAGUUGCACAUUAUUGUUCCUAUAUGUGGAACACUGUAUUUCUGUCCCAGGGUGCCUUUGAAUCUUUACUUCUUUAUUUAAAAUCAAUGCAAAAAGCUCUGUUUAUGUAUCUGAGCAUAUUUAUUUUAUUUAUUAUAUUUUUUAUUUAUUUAUGUUAUUUAAAUUCCGCCUUUCUCACUGAGACUCAAGGUGGAUUACAUAGUGUGAGAUUAGUACAAUUAGUGUGAGAUUAGUACAAUUAGUACAAUUAGUGUGAGAUUAGUACAAGGGCAGGCAUUUCCAUACAGUGUCAAGAACAUUUCCAUAAACAAUGUCAUAGGGUAAAUGAAUACAGUUUCAAGAACAUUUCCAUAAACAAUGUCAUGGGGUAAAAGAAUAUAAGUUUACAAAGAUAUAGUAUUAGCAAGGAUCUAGUAUGGGGUUGAGGAAUUGCUGAAACAGAACAUAAUCAAUUCUAGGACUUACAUUGAACAACAUAAAGCACAGGUAGGAUAUAGGAGUACAUAUUUAAAGCAACAGAUAAUAUGUAAGGCAACAUAAUGGUGAAAUCUAUGGUUUCUAACUUGGCUUGUGUUCUAAUAUGGCUUGUGUUAGGGGCAAUAAUGUUUAGCAUCGCUGCGUAAACCUGCUUAAAUCCAAAUACUUGAGGUUAACUAGGUUGUAGUUUGGAAAGUACUUCAGUGCUACAGAUGUGUAAAAACAUGAUGGAGUAGAGGCACAUGCCAAUCUGAUCCACACUAAUGUGACAUUGUAGCUAUAUGUUAAUGCAUUAAUUAUAAUGUUCUGUCUAAUAAUACAGGAUGUGUAAUAUUUAUUAUGUUUCUUUUCAAGUUCAGUUGAUAGUAUAUUUUAUUGUACAAUUAGCCAAACAGUGAUGUGACAAGGGACAGAAAUGCUGUGACGUAUCAGUAUCAGUAAAGGAACUGCUUUCAGUCUUUUUAAAGAAUAGGAUCAUUUUUGGAAUAAAAGCUCCAACAUGUUUUAAGAAACUAGACACAACAACAUGAGUUGAAGACAGCAUGUCAUCUUGGCUUUCUGACCUUCCUUUGGGUUUCUUCUUUUGUGAGUUUUAGUCUUAUUGAUGUUACUUUUCCAGAGAUUUCUCUUUUUUCAGAUGGCUUUCAUUAAUGAUAUCAUUAUUCCCCUUGCAAAGUCUAGAGGAGAAAAAUCUAGCAAUUGAAUAUCAUAUCUA
Long non-coding RNA from Eublepharis macularius, 1890 nucleotides. RefSeq lists it as uncharacterized. The transcript has 3 exons. The record is from RefSeq and is a predicted model, not a curated record. NCBI's taxonomy places the organism in Eukaryota, Metazoa, Chordata, Lepidosauria, Squamata, Eublepharidae.